GUUAAAGUUUAGUCGGCAUGAUAGAAUAUAAGUUAAAAGUUCAUAAACAAGCUAAGGUUAAAAGGUUAAAAACAUAUUUUAUUUACAUUGACCUUUAGUGUUGUACACUGCCAUCUACUGGUCAGUUUUAAUCCAGCAGUCAAGCAGACACAUUUUUCAGUUGAGCAGCUAAACAAGUCAGUGCUGGAGUGUAUUCCUGCUGGGUGUUUUUUCUACACGCUUCUGCCUUGGAGACUAUUUGUCUGUAAGUACAAUGUCUUUAAGUAGAGGUAUGUUAAGGAUGUUUUGUGUUAUUAGUAGGUUUCAGACAUUUUCUGUCGUUUUAGUUUUGAACAUGUUUUGCUAGUAGUAAGCUAACAUUCGGUGUGACAUAGACAUGUGUGUGGACAUACAUAAUGCUGUAUAUAUUGUUGUUUAUGUGCUAAUAUGUGUUCACAUUUCUGUAAUGUUUCAGUUUUACAUAAAAAGAACAAAGGAGAUUCAGAGAAAAGUAAACUACAAGAAAAGUCAAGCCUUGUCUGUUUAUUGGAGGAUCUCUCAGUGUUAACUGGCUGUCUAGCUUUGCAACAAGAAACGCGCUGCAAGGGCAGUACAGUAAAAAGACAAGAGCACGGCGGGCUCAAGCACCAGAAAACAACACUCAGGCAACAUGAGUCUACGUUCAGGGAGAAGUUACCUGAAGGACUACACCACAACGCAGCAAGAUGAAGCUAGUGGAGGGAAAGAAGCAGAUGUUGUAGAUCAAGCAACGGAGAGGCAUGAGCAGGCUCGAGCAUUCGAUGACAAGUCACAGUCAUCCAGAGCAUCCACCAGACACUCUCACCUAUCAUCAUCAACAGCUUCUUCUGCCACAAAAGCCUAUGCCAAGGCAAAAGCCGCACGGGCUCAACUCGCUUAUGCAGCGAAAGAAGCUGACAUUAUGAAGCAAAAAGCAGACUUAGAAGCAUCCAUCUUAAAACAAAAGGCUGAUUAUGAUGCAAGUCUCCAUCUGCUCCAGUGUGAAAGAGUUGCUGCUGCAGCUGAAGCUGAGGCUACAGCAUAUGAGGAAGUUGAAAGUGGGGAGCUUCGCAAAGAAUUCCUUGUUCAAGAAAAGCCCCUCAGCUCAAUCGAACGCACUAGUGAGUACAUCCAACAGCAGUCUCAGUUGUUUAUGGAGCUGCCCUCAAAACAUGAAGCUGUGGAUUCGCUAGGUAAACCAAUAAACAAAACAGAAACACAUCAUGCUAAACCAGAAGUUGGACAUGAUAACCAAAGUAAAACACAGUGGGCUUAUAAAGACAUAAAAGAAGAGCAACCAACAACACAGCACAUAUCCAAUCCUGAAAGAGAACGUAUACCUGAAUCUCAAGGCACACAAGACCUCGCAAGAUAUCUCAUCCGAAGAGAAAUGGUGAGUGGUGGUCUUCUGCAAUUUGAUGACAAACCCGAAAAUUAUUGGUCAUGGAAAGCCUCCUUUCUUAGCGCUACCAAGGACUUGAAUCUCUCACCCAGGGAAGAACUGGACCUGAUGACAAAGUGGCUUGGAGCCGAAUCGUCAGAACAGGCAAAGAGAAUUCGUGCAGUACAUGUACUCAAUCCCGCAGUAGGUGUCAACAUGGUCUGGCAACGUCUCGAAGAGUGUUAUGGGACACCAGAGGUCAUAGAAGACGCACUGCUUCGAAAGAUAGAAAACUUCCCAAGACUGACCAAUAAAGAUAAUAUCAAGCUAAGAGAACUGGGUGACAUUCUCCUGGAACUGGAGUGUGCUAAGGAAGAUGGUGUUCUUCAAGGGCUUUCAUAUCUGGACACGGCUCGUGGGGUAAAACAAAUUGUGGAAAAACUUCCCUACAACCUCCAAGAAAAAUGGACAAUCUUCGGAAGCAAGUACAAGGAAGAUUAUGCAGUAGCUUUUCCUCCCUUUACUGUCUUCUCCAAAUUUGUCCGACAGCAGGCAAAGAUAAAAAAUGACCCAAGCUUCAUUUUAUCCACCUCCAGUAGCCAUGCUAGCUCUGCAGCAGAAAAACCUGUGAAGAGUAGUAGGAAAACUGUCAUCACUACACACAAAACAGACAUCCCUGCAAAUUUCACAGACAGCCAGAACAGUCCUGGUUUCAAGAAGUUGGAAGAACCAGACCGUCAAUGCCCAAUACACAAGAAGCCCCACCCUUUGAAAAAAUGUAAGCUCUUUAGAGACAAAUCACUAGAGGAGCGCAAAACAUACCUGAGAGAGAAUCGCAUCUGCUAUAGAUGUUGUGGGUCUACUCAACAUAUGGCAAAGGACUGCAAAAUAACAGUGAAGUGCCUUGAAUGCAACAGUGACAGGCACAUUGCAGCUCUGCAUCCAGGCCCACCUCCUGUGACCACUCAGAGCGUUACAACUGACAACGAUGACAGCGGGGAGCAAAGUGAAAGUUCAUCUUCUGCAGUCACCUCCAAGUGCACAGAGAUUUGUGGUAAUGCAGAAAGUGCACGCUCAUGUUCAAAAAUAUGCCUGGUGAAAGCAUAUCCUGCAGGAAAAAGGGAGAAAGCAAUCAGAAUGUAUGCAGUGUUGGAUGAACAGAGCAACAAGUCCCUCGCCAAGACAGAGUUCUUCGACAUCUUUGAAAUCAAAACUACUUCCUCAGCUUAUACCAUGAAAACCUGUUCCGGGAAACUUGAGACCUCAGGUAGAAGAGCAGUCAAUUUCAUCAUUGAGUCCAUGGAUGGAAAAUUACAGCUUCCUUUACCCACCUUGAUUGAGUGCGACAUGGUGCCGGAUGACAGGACAGAAAUUCCCACUGCAGAGAUUGCACUCCAUCAUCCCCACCUACAGCGAGUUGCUGACAAGAUCCAACCUGUAGAUAAAGAUGCACCAAUCCUCUUGCUUUUAGGAAGAGACAUCAUCAGGGUGCACAAGGUGCGUGAGCAAAUCAACGGCCCACACAAUGCUCCUUAUGCGCAGAGGCUAGACCUAGGCUGGGUCAUUGUGGGAGAAGCGUGCCUGGGGACAGUUCAUAAACCAUCUGAGGUGAAUGUCUAUAAAACAAACACACUUCAAAAUGGUCGCACAUCUUUUCUCAAACCAUGUCCAAACAGGAUACAUGUGAAAGACGACUACAGUAGCAUGGCACAGCAAUACAGUCCUACCUUCCUCACAUGUGAAGGAAACACAAGUCUCAGAGUGAAUUCUGAAAACCUAGGGCAUUCAGUGUUCGACAGGUGCAAGGAUGAUGACAGACCAGCACUCUCCAUAGACGACAGAGUUUUCCUGGCCAUCAUGGAUGCAGAGGUAACCCAGAAUAAAGAAAACAGCUGGGUGGCACCUUUACCAUUCCGCACACCUAGACGACGUCUUCCAAGCAACAGGGAACAAGCAUUGAAGCGUCUCUGCUCACUACGGAAAACUUUGGAGAAAAGGCCAAAAAUGAAAGAAGAUUAUGUCAACUUCAUGCAGAAAAUGAUAGACAACGAUCAAGCGGAGCCUGCUCCACCUCUAGAUGAAGGUAAAGAACACUGGUAUCUGCCAUCAUUUGGCGUUUAUCACCCACAAAAGCCAGACCAAAUACGUGUUGUGUUCGAUUCAAGUGCUGAAUGUGACGGAACAUCACUCAAUGAUGUGCUCCUGAGCGGACCGGACUUGAAUAAUUCCCUGUUGGGAGUCCUUCUGCGCUUCCGAAAGGAGCCCAUAGCCCUUACAGCAGAUGUGCAGCAAAUGUUUUAUUGCUUCGUUGUCCGAGAAGAUCACAGAGAUUUUCUCAGGUAUCUCUGGUAUGAAGAUAACGACAUCAACAAGAAUGUGGUUGAGUACAGAAUGAAAGUUCAUGUAUUCGGAAACAGCCCUUCACCUGCUGUAGCUAUUUACUGUAUGAGACGAGCAGCUGAGAGUGGUGAGAAAGAACAUGGUUCUGAGGCAAGACAGUUUGUUGAGAGACAGUUUUACGUCGAUGAUGGCCUCACCUCAGUAGCCACACCAGAAGAGGCAAUAGAUCUUCUCACACGAACCAGGAAGAUGCUGGCGGAAUCCAACCUGCGACUGCAUAAAGUGGCAUCUAAUAGUUGUCAAGUAAUGGAAGCCUUCCCAGCAGAAGAUCGUGCCACGGAUCUGAAGGAUCUGGAUUUGGGAAUGGAUCCUCUUCCUCUUCAGAGGAGCCUGGGGCUCUCCUGGAACCUAGAAACCGACAGCUUCACUUACCUGGUGUCCUGCGAACAGAAACCAUUCACACGAAGGGGUGUACUGUCAACAGUCAACAGCUUGUAUGACCCCUUAGGCCUUGUAGCUCCUAUAGCGAUGCAAGGAAAGGCAUUAAUGCGAGAGCUGACAGCCGAACAAAGUGAAUGGGAUGCUCCUCUUCUUCCAGAAAAGGAAUGUGAGUGGAACCUGUGGAAAGAAUCUUUAAAGGCUCUUGAAGACCUUCACAUACAGAGGUGCUACAUUUCAGUCUCACUGUCUUCAACUCAGAGAAAAGAACUGUGCAUCUUUUCAGAUGCUUCCACAGUGGCUAUAGGAGCUGUGGCCUACUUGAGAGCUGUUGACAUUCAAGGACAAUACCAUGUUGGCUUUGUCAUGGGGAAGUCAAAAUUGGCCCCUCGCCCAGCUCAUACCAUUCCACGUCUGGAACUCUGUGCAGCAGUUCUGGCGGUCGAGUUGUAUGAGCUGAUAAGUGAGGAGAUUGACACCACAAUAGAUGCUGUUAAGUUCUUCACAGACAGUAAGAUUGUGCUUGGAUAUAUCCAUAACUCCACAAGAAGGUUUUAUGUGUAUGUCUCCAACCGGAUAAAUCGGAUCAGAAGAUCAACACACCCUAACCAGUGGAACUAUGUUCCAACAGACUCAAACCCUGCAGACCAUGCAACCAGGUUCAUACCAGCAGCCCAGCUCCAACAUAGCAAUUGGUUCUCAGGUCCAACCUUCCUGUAUCAGGACAAAGCAGCAGAGACACCUGAAUCCAACAUCUUCACACUUGUUGAGCCUGAAGCAGAUGAGGAGAUUCGUCCUGAAGUUGUAACUCUGGCAACUAAGACAUCAGAGUCGCACUUGGGCUCACAACGCUGGGAGCGAUUCUCAAGCUGGAGAAAACUCUGUAGAACUGUAGCCAGGCUAAUUCAUGUCGCUGCAUCCUUCAAGGAAAAGUCAACCCAUACAGACAGGAAAGGAUGGAAAUCUUUCAAAGAAACACCUAACAUAAAUGAGCUCUCACAAGCCAAAGCUGUGAUCAUCCAUUCUGUCCAGCAAAAUGUCUUCAAGGAGGAAUUGAACUGUGUCAAAAACGGACAUACACGUCUCAAGAACAACACACUCAAGAAGCUCAAUCCAGUUGUGGAUGAAGAUGGUCUGCUUCGCGUCGGAGGUCGUCUUUCUCUGUCUGAUGUGUCAAAGGAAGAAAAACACCCACUGAUCAUCCCACACAAUGAUCAUAUUGCCACGCUGCUUGUGAGACACUUUCAUGAACAAGUGGCACACCAAGGGCGACACAUCACAGAAGGGGCUAUCCGAGCAGCUGGAUACUGGAUAAUUGGGGGUAAGCGUCUGGUAUCCUCUGUUAUCCACAAGUGUAUAACCUGCCGAAAACUCAGAGGGAAAUUGGAGCAUCAGAAGAUGGCAGAUUUGCCUGCUGACAGGCUCACUCCAGAACCUCCAUUCACCAGUGUUGGUCUAGAUGUUUUCGGGCCAUGGCCUAUCAUGACACGGCGCACAAGAGGAGGAAGUGCUGACAGCAAACGCUGGGCCAUACUCUUUACGUGCAUGUCGUCCAGAGCAGUUCAUAUAGAGCUCAUAGAAACCAUGUCAACAGACAGCUUUAUCAAUGCUCUAAGGAGAUUUUUCUCUAUCCGUGGCCCAGCAAAGCUUCUGCGAUCGGACAGAGGGACGAACUUUGUGGGAGCUUGUAAGGAGUUGCAUAUAAACACAGAUGACACAGCAGUCAGGAACUAUCUCCAGGAGAAAGGAUGUUCUUGGGUGUUUAAUCCUCCUCAUGCUUCCCACAUGGGUGGCUCCUGGGAAAGGCUCAUCGGAGUUGCCAGGCGCAUUCUGGAUGCAUUGCUGCUUCAGAGAGGGCCGACACGUCUCACACAUGAAGUACUGAGCACUCUCAUGGCAGAGGUAAUGGCAAUUAUAAAUGCAAGACCCAUUGUGCCCAUAUCCACUGACCCAGAUAUGCCUGCAGUUCUCACACCAGCGAUGAUCCUUACACAGAAGGCGAGUGCACUUUCAGCCCCCUCUGGAAGUUUUGAUACAGCGCAGUUAUAUGGGAAACAGUGGAAGCAAGUUCAGUGUCUCGCUGACACUUUCUGGAAGAGAUGGAGAGGAGAGUACCUGUCAUCUCUACAGGGCCGCAGGAAAUGGACUAAAGAUAAGCCAAAUGUUAAAGUAGGAGAUGUUGUCUUACUGAAAGACAGUCAGGCCCACAGAAAUGAAUGGCCAAUAGGACUGGUCAUAAAGACUUUGCCAAGCAAUGACGAAAGGGUCCGUAAGGUGGAGGUGCGGACUGUGAAGGAUGGGACGGCCAAGGUCUUUCUGAGACCGGUUACAGAGACUGUAGUUCUUCUUUCAGAGACUGAGUGACUCUAAAAUAUGCUAUGGGCUUUAUUCUUUAAGUUUGUUGUAUGUAUAGUGAUAUAAGAUUAUUAUAUCAAGCGGGGAGUGUGCUGCCGUUAAAGUUUAGUCGGCAUGAUAGAAUAUAAGUUAAAAGUUCAUAAACAAGCUAAGGUUAAAAGGUUAAAAACAUAUUUUAUUUACAUUGACCUUUAGUGUUGUACACUGCCAUCUACUGGUCAGUUUUAAUCCAGCAGUCAAGCAGACACAUUUUUCAGUUGAGCAGCUAAACAAGUCAGUGCUGGAGUGUAUUCCUGCUGGGUGUUUUUUCUACACGCUUCUGCCUUGGAGACUAUUUGUCUUUUUACAUAAAAAGAACAAAGGAGAUUCAGAGAAAAGUAAACUACAAGAAAAGUCAAGCCUUGUCUGUUUAUUGGAGGAUCUCUCAGUGUUAACUGGCUGUCUAGCUUUGCAACAAGAAACGCG
This is an RNA transcript of Acanthopagrus latus (yellowfin seabream), 6976 nucleotides long. RefSeq lists it as uncharacterized. NCBI's taxonomy places the organism in Eukaryota, Metazoa, Chordata, Actinopteri, Spariformes, Sparidae. The transcript has 2 exons. The record is from RefSeq and is a predicted model, not a curated record.